Chrysemys picta bellii (western painted turtle) is the source of this 2385-nucleotide long non-coding RNA. The record is from Ensembl. NCBI's taxonomy places the organism in Eukaryota, Metazoa, Chordata, Testudines, Emydidae.
CUCGGCUGUUAAACAAGAUACACGGCUUAAAGCCCAGGCCCCAAGCUAUUUACCAGGGCAAGUUGCAAAGGUUACAAAGAUGACACUGUACCAUGUCUUGAUAACAGGAUGUGAUGGACCCUCAUGGACACAUCAGGACUGGAGCACUGGACACAAGUAAAGACAGGAACUCCAAGACAGGGCUCCAAGACAGGUUUGUGAUUAGGAUGUGGACUCAUAUAAAGGAAAAAGAAAAGGUCAUCAGUUAUGUAGACGACAUAUUAAUUGCCACUGUAACCAAGGAAGAGAAUCUCAAAAUUCUAGAUGCUGUUCAGUGCAAGAUACAAGAAACUGGAAUUGUGAUCAGUCUGACAAAAGCCCAAAUGAUACAACAAAAAGUUAUUUAUCUUGGCAUGGAGCUGGGCAUACACAGGCACAGGCCUGAUGCACAAGGAGUUGAAUUAAUUUGUAAACUGCCAGCCCCGCAAAACGUGUCAGCGUUAAGGUCUUUCUUGGGCCUUACAGGAUUCUCCCAAGGUUUUAUUGAGGGUUACUCAGAGAUUGCACAACCUCUUUAUAUACUGUGAAAGAAGAGCCAAGAAUGGACUUGGGGCAAAAAACAGAGAGAUGCAUUCUGUCAGGUGCUUGCAAAGACUCUGGUGUUGGUCUACCUUCAGCCUAACAAACCCUUCCAGCUUCAACUAGUGACAACUGAGAAAGGAUUAAGUAUUCUUAUUGCAGAACAACAGAGUACAGUAGUUGUAGUUAUACUUAACGUUGUAAUUAUGUUCCUGAAAAAUGUGACUUUAAGCAAAACAAUGUUAAGCGAAUCCAAUUUCCCCAUAAGAAGUAAUGUAAAUGAGGGGGUUAGGUUCCAGGGAAUUUUUUUCACCAGACAAAAGACUAUAUUAUAGAUAUAUGUAUAUAUAUGCUCAGGAUAUGGAAACAGAUACUGCUUAGUAAUAACCGACUCCUUCUCGAAAUGGAUAGAGGCAUAUCCUACAUGAAACAACACAGCUAGCACUACAGCAAAAAUCCUUUUGGAACAAACCUUCUCUAGAUUUGGUCUUCUGGAGGUAUUAGACUUGGACCAAGGACCCCAUUUUGUAGGAGAGAUAGUAAAGUGUUGUGCCAAGCAUUUAUUAUAAAACAGAAAAUCCAUAUUGCAGGACCCCCGCAAAGCUCGGGUUUGGUCGAGUGAACAAAUCGGACAUUAAAGACUGCUUCACGCAAGAUUGUUGCAAGUUCAGGAAAAGACUGGGACAAAAGAUUAUGGCCAUUAGGACAAAUGGCCAUAAGAUCAACAAUUGUGUCCCAUGGGUACACUCCUCACGAGGUCAUAACGGGCAGAAUGAUAAAAACGCCCAAACAGGGGUGGCUAGGAGGGAUAUCUCCAGAGGAGUAUCAACUCAGAAUUAAAAUAGAUCAGUUUAUAAAUAAGCUGUUGAAUACUAUCAGCGCUGUUCAAAAACAGGUCAGUGCAAUUGAAAAGUAAUGCUAGACAGAUGGAUAAAAGACUGGGUGAUGUGUUAAAAUGCAAGGAAUGGAAUGUAGGUGACAAAUUUUUUUAUCGCUUCUACUCAGAUAAGAACCAUUCUUUAAGACCCAAAUGGGUAGGACCAGUUCUAAGGAUAAGGCCUUUUCCUGUAGCUAUAUUGUAAGGCCUAAAGCCUACGGCCUUUGUCUGCAGCCAUAUUAAGAGAGCAGCAGGCAUUAGCUAAGAAGCAGAAAGUCACAUUCCAUCUCAGUUACAUUAAAACAAUGUAAUAUCAGGCUGUUAAGAAGGAGACCCGUCCUAAUAGCCCCCACUAGCACCAGAUAAAGAAACAGAUCUUAAGAUGGUUAAAGAAAACUUAGUUUCAUAGCCUCCUGUCUGGCAAAAAUCACUUAUCAAUAGCUGUAGUUGUAAAAUCCUCAUUUCUUUAUGGUUUUAUCUUUAUGGUCCCCACUUUCCUAUUGUUUGUAUGAUCUCUGUCUGGUUCUUUGAUUGUUUCUGUCUGUUACAUAAUUAAUUUAGCAAAUUAAUUAAGGUGGUAGGGUAGGAUUGGUUAGAGAAUUUUGUUACAAUAUGUCAGGAUUAGUUAGCAAAAUUUUAGUAUCAUGAUUGGUUAAACUAAAAGUAUAGCUAAGCAGGACUCAAGUUUCACUAUAUAAACUGGGGUCCAAAAGGAAGUUCUUUGGGCACUAACUCCAGCACACAGCCUCAAGAACAGAGCUGCCAGACCUCAACACUAUGCCACUUACACUGUGCAGAAACUGGAGUCCCUCAGAUGACCUGAUACUGACUGACCAUCAAGAAGAGUUCAUCUGUCUUAUUGGGAGUGGUGAGCAUUGUAUGCUUAGCAUGUGCAUUCUGUUUUGGUGAUUGUUAAUAAAUAGAGGUUAAGUAGGAUAUUAAGUAGGCUC